GACGAACGCUGGCGGCGUGCUUAACACAUGCAAGUCGAGCGGUAAGGCCCUUUCGGGGGUACGACGAGCGGCGAACGGGUGAGUAACACGUGGGUGACCUGCCCUCAGCUCUGGGAUAAGCCUGGGAAACUGGGUCUAAUACCGGAUAUGACUCCAUGACGCAUGUUGUGGGGUGGAAAGCCUUGUGCGGCUGAGGAUGGGCCCGCGGCCUAUCAGCUUGUUGGUGGGGGUGAGGCCUACCAAGGCGACGACGGGUAGCCGGCCUGAGAGGGCGACCGGCCACACUGGGACUGAGACACGGCCCAGACUCCUACGGGAGGCAGCAGUGGGGAAUCUUGCGCAAUGGGCGAAAGCCUGACGCAGCGACGCGCGUGAGGGAUGACGGCCU
RNAcentral lists this ribosomal RNA (388 nucleotides) under uncultured bacterium. RNAcentral's name for it is "bacterial SSU rRNA". It matches the Rfam family "Bacterial small subunit ribosomal RNA", at positions 28 to 417 of the family's 1533-position model. The record is from RNAcentral.